Molecule: long non-coding RNA, 381 nt
Filed under: Pongo abelii (Sumatran orangutan)
Lineage: Eukaryota; Metazoa; Chordata; Mammalia; Primates; Hominidae
Description: lincRNA
Source: RNAcentral
CAUGAUGUAAUGGAAUUAAGAAUGGGUCAAUGAAAUAUACAGCCCCUUUCUGGAAUGUACUUGUUCUGCUACAACCAUGGAUAUUCUGACCUUUCUGUGCCUUUCAGGGACAAGGGUAAUAGAGGAAUUUCAGACUCCCUCCAAAACAAAACAACAACUGAACAAUAAACAACAGAAAAAUAACACAAAAAAAGACGGUGGUACUCUUUCCCCUUUCCUUGCUUUCUCCUACUACCAAAACAAACAACAAAAACUACAUUGUCUCAUUGGAUGACGAAGCUAAAAUUUUGUAGCAAAUCUAUAAAAGAAAAGAAGUGGAAAUCUACUCAAGAGCUACUGUAAAACACUGUAUACAAAACAACCACUUUGGUUCACAUUAAA